UUUGUUACAAAAAUCAUUCCAUAGUCUUUCAAAAAUAAUAUGAUGUAUUCAGUCCAGACAGUUAAACUGUAGGUCUUAAUAGUUUUCAUUGACUUUUUUCAACAGUAUGGCUGGGUGUAAUAAACUAUACCAAUCCGAGCCAAUUAUUGGACAUGAUUUUUUGGUUUACAUAAAUAAUAUAACAUAAAUUGAAUAUAUUGGAUCAUGUUAAACACCCUUCAUCUACAUGAAGCGUCAUCUAUAUUUGAUAUGUCACUACCAUUAUCUUCUAUCUUAUCAUCGAAACUAAUGCCAAUAAUAUCAAAUGAUGGGACAUUUGAAAUGUAGUCAUCAUUACAUAAACUGUCUUCGUAAGGGAUCAAGUAGGCAAACAAGUCAUCAACUUCCUCGUUCAAUAAUGGAGAUGAUGGGAAUGAAACCUCGUUCAAGUUCGGGAAAUGAACCGGUGAAAGGAUUUCUGACUACUAGAUUGAUCUACAACAUUAUCAUCUGAAUCAAUUACGAUGUUGAACAAAUUGGUAUUCAAGAAGGGAUAUGGUAAUACUCUACAAAUUUGUAUGUAAAUUGUUCUUUUAGAUGAAGUGUAGAAAUAUGUUAGAAGUUGGAGGCUCACGAUGAAAGACUAAACCUCAAAAUUGUUUCAAUGUAUUAUAGUACACAACUAUUUGCAAUUAUUGUGUUCCAUUUAUCAACUUUUUUUUUUUGGGGUCAAUUUCAUUAAUCAUACAUUCAUUUGGUGUGACCUUUUUAUCUACAUAUUUCAAUAAUUCGUUUUCUUUAAUUGAUAUCACAUUUCAAUAUGGCAUUAGUGGUAGUAUUGUUGAUCAUCUAACUUAUUUACAAACGUUUCCGUACAAAUGAUAUCUCGACUGUACAACCUGCUCAUAAUAAAAAUGUCUUUUCACCUAUGAAUAUGAACUAAAUGAACAUAAAACUAAGUUGUUCGACGUACACAUUAUGAUAUGAUUUCAAAAAUAAUACAACAAAUUAUAAGUCCAAAAGUAAUGCAUAAUUAACGAAAUUCUAUUACGUACUAUUCUUCCCUCUUUUCCGGCUACUCCUAAUGUAGGGAGUUCGAAAUCCAUCUACAACUCAAUUAACAUUAAAAAUUUCAAUUUUAGAGAAUGAUUUAACAUGCAAUGAAUUCAUACAACACAUAUUAAAGCAACUCAAACACAUUUUCAUUUUAUUGUGACUUUCAAGUAAUUCAUUCAAAUUGACGAGAAAUUCAGUAACCAUCUGUCGAGAAUAUUGAUAGAUUUUCUCGACAAAUGUUCCAUCUAUACUUUAAAGAAACUCUUCAGAUGCGAACAUGAAUCGAAUGUUUCGAUCCACAAUGACCAUAUAAUGAACUACAUUGCAAUAAAUUGAAUCAAUCAUAGAAUAGAUCUCAUUAUCAUUGAAUGAACCAAUGAAUGAAUCACAUUACUUAAGCUAUGAAUCAACAAAUUAAAACAAUAUAUCAAUCUAUAAAUUCAACUUACAUUGCUAAACCUAUAAUGGUCAUGUAUAUUCUAAUAAACUACAAUGGACAUUCAUAUUCUAAUAAACCAUAAAAUCAACCUACAUUCGAAGCACACCCUCAUAAAGUUUCAAUGAAAUCCUUUACAUUAACUCAAUAUAUGAGAAAAUAAACCACAAUUGACAUGUAUAAUCAUGCUACAUAUUCAGGCUCAAAUUCAGAUGGGCACGAAAUAUUAACUUGUUUAAACCACCAUUUAGGGUAUAUCUGAUUAUAAAUAUGAAAUUUAUAUGGAAAGAAAAUAAAUUUUAAGCAAUUAAAUUUCUUAGAACUUAGUUGUAUGAAAAUUGUCAAUUAAAUGUGUUUAAUUGAGUUAAUUUUCAACAUAAAAAAUGUUAUAUUUGUCCAUUUUUAUUGGUGGGUAGAUGAGAGAGAAAGAUAGAAUUACUUGAAAAUUAAAAACUUAUUCUCCUAUAGAAAAUAUUUUCCUUGUUUUUCAAGGAAAUUGUGAUUAUGUAAUUAAAAGUAGGAAAAUAUUUUUCAUGUAAAAAAUAUCAACAAAAUAGUACAAAAGUAAAAAUUUGGUGAAAAAUGACAUUUUUAAUUAAAAACAUUAGCAAUCAAACGCACCCUUAUUGGAAGGGUGUGUUAGGAAAAACAUAAAUAAAAUUUAUAUUUUAAAACAUGUGCAAAGUAUUGAUUUUUCACUUAAAAAAAUCAAUUUUUUGAUCGUUAUAUCACUAUUCAAAUUAUCAUUUUUUACUUCUUCUCUCACAGAUAAGACCUAAUUUUCUUUUCAACGAUCAAAAGAUCAAUUCUCAAAAUCAGUAUCAGACAAACCCUAUAUAAUAGAUGUGAAAAUGAAAGUACGAAAGGAGUAUUAUUAGCCCUCGUUUGGCCCCCCAUUAUUGGAGAUUAUAGUUAUUGGAAUAAUGUUUUUUAAAAAAAUGGGUUAAAAAAAAAAACAUUUUGAAUUUAUAUGUAAUAUCAUUUUAUUGGAGAAUGUGUGGUUGAUAAGAAAAGAAGGAAAAAUGAAUUAUAAUUUUAAUGGAAUCAAACAGUGAUAAUAAAACGGGAGUUUCAGGCUUUGGGAAAAUUGAAGCAGUGAUCUCUAACCUUUUCAAUUUUUGCAGAUUUUACCUUAACCUUCAAUUUGAACUAGCGAAAGUCUCAAACUUUUCAUAAAUAUGCACCUGAAGUCCAACUGAAUGGAAAUCAUCUAGAUGACCAAGAAAAGUGAACUUGAACCAAAUUAAAAUGGGUAAAAUAGUAACUUUGCUUAUUUUCAAAUAUUGACAAUUAAAAUAAUAAGACUAAAAACAAAAAAUAAAAUGAAAUAAAAUAAAAUAAAUCUACCCCCAUCCCACUCUCAAAUUCAAAACAUACCCAGAAAAAGGGAGGAAAUGAAAAUCCGCCCCCGAUCAGAAGUAGCUAAUUCGGCGUAAUAAAAUAGCAUUUAGCAACUUUUUAGCAAAACUCCAGAAAAAAUUUUCCUUUCGAAAUCAAAUCGAUGUCCAAAGCUUAGAAAAUCAGAGUAAAGACAAAUCAAUAAUUUAAGCUUGGUCGAAUUAAAUUAAGUUAAAAACUGAAACACGUUAAAUUCAUCUUAUUACCUUGCCGGCUACAAAUUGGAGUGUAUUUGUAGGAAGGUGCAAGAUCUCACAAAAAUAAAGCUAUGACUAAAUUCCUAAAAAAUGAAGCUGUGGUAGCAAGAGGAGAUCAAAAGUUGAAAAUCAAAAUUGAUAAAGAAAAAAAUCGAAAGAAAUUGAUGCUCAAACUCUGAAUUCUUUGUGCCAACUUAAGUCAAGUUUGGAUUUAACAUUUUCACAGUAAUUAAUUGGACAUAUCUUUCAGUAAGAAUUUUUAUUUUUCUUUUUCUUUUGGGAAUUUUCUUUUGUUUCUUUCAUUUUAAAGGAGUGUGAAUAUGGCUUUACAAUGAUUCAUUUGGGAAUGGGUUUUAAAGAUUUGAAAGGUAAUUUUGAAGAUGGUAGAUGGUUUACGUGUGUUGAGUAUGAAGAGAAAAUGAAAUGCCACUUGGAUAAAACAGGUCAGCAACCCCACCUCAAGCCAUGUCAACAGCAAAACAUUCUAGAAGAUGAGAGACCCAGCAAGUUGCAUAAGGAAUAUACUGUGGAUACCGGUUGAAGAAGAGUGUAGAAGAAAAUUCUAUUAGGCUACAUGUAUAACAUUUAUUCUGUUAUAUAUACUGUAAUUGCAAGCAUUUGAGAAUACAAUAAUCAUUUUCUUCUCCAUUUACGUGCUGCAAUUGCCUCAUUAUUCUUCUUCAUUCAUAUCUUCAUUUUGUAAUAUGGUAUCAGAGCCAUAACAAUGGCUGAAAAUCACAGCACAGAUACCCAAUCUGCCACGCAUGAAGACCUCAAUCCAAAUUCCCAAUCUACUGCACAUCAAAAACUCAAUCCAAAUCCUCAACAAUACCAGAACACGUACUCCACACCAAAUCCUGAUGACCCUGCUCAUCCCCACAGUCCAUACUAUAUAAGUGGAAGUGAUAGCUCUGGGACAAUAUUGGUCACUCAUGUACUUGAUAACACCAACUACUAUGCAUGGGCAAGAUCUAUGAAGAGGGCCCUCAGAAUUAAAAACAAACUUGGGUUCAUUGAUGGAAGCCUAACACAGCCAGACCCUACUAGCUUUCUGAUAGAACACUGGCUCCGCUGCAAUGAUCUUGUGAUAGCCUGGCUACAAAACACCAUGUCUAUUGAAGUAAAAUCCUGAACUCUUUAUGCAAAAACCGCUAGAGAGCUAUGGCUGGAACUAGAACAUCGAUUGGCUCAACAAAAUGCCCCACGAAUUUAUGAGGUAAAACAAGCCAUCAGCAACUUAAUGCAAAACCAAGAUGCUGUGAGCGUUUACUUUUCGAAAUACAAAACUCUCCUUGAUGAAUUAUGAAUCCAUGCCUAAUUGCACUUGUGGAGGACUUCGCACUGUUGUUGAUAAUCAGAAAAGGGAUUGGGUCAUGAGAUUUCUUAUGGACCUGAACGAAUCUUAUAAGGAUAUUAAAGCUCAAAUUCUUCUAAUCAAACCUUUGCCUGAUCUCAAUGAAGUAUAUUCUAUUAUACAACAAGAAGAAAAGAGAAGGCAGAUUUCAAUGGACUCUCCAACCAAUGACUCCAUGGCAAUGAUGACUCGUGGAAUUCGAAAUGGAAAUCAGCACUCAACUAAUCGAAAUGCUAAGUAUUUUUACACUCAUUUUUAAAUUGCAGGGCACUCACUGGAAAGAUGCCACAAGGCUAAUCCUAAGAUACCAAUGUGUUCCCACUGUAACUUUCCUGGUCAUAGAAUAGACAAAUGCUUCAAAAUCCAUGGAUACCCCCAAGGACACAAACUCUACAACAAAGUUAAACCCCCCAAUCAUUCUGUAAAUCAGGUGACCAGGAGUGCUCAUUCUCCCAUUACGCAAGAGCAAUACACUCAGCUCAUAGCACUUCUCAACAAGCAGAGUGUUUCACCAUCAACUCAUUUGGCAAGCCAAGUUUGUUCAAUCAUUACUCCUUGCACUACUGAGGAUCAAAUGCCUAAUGUUUCUGGUAUAUCUUUAUGUCUCUCUGCGUUUGCAUCAAAAUCCAAGACACGAGCUAUAAUACCUUGGAUCAUAGACACAGGUGCCACAGAUCAUAUGAUCUGUGACAUUUCCUUCUUCACUAACAUUGUGGCACAGGUUUCCCACUCAGUCACACUCCCUAAUGGGAAUGGUGUUACUGUCACUCAUAUAGGCACAGUACAAAUUUCAGAAAAGUUAAUCCUGCAUGAUGUACUUUGUGUCCCAUCCUUCUCUUUUAAUUUGAUUUCAGCUAGAAAACUAGCAACCAAUUUGAAUUGCUGUCUUAUUUUUCUGUCUCACUUUUGCUUUAUACAGGACCUUUUAACCUGGAAAACGAUUGGGAUGGGUAAGGUGCGGCAUGGUCUGUACCAUCUCCAACAACAGGAAACUUCACCAUCAGCAUUCUUUGACAUUGUAAGCAACACCAAAACCAUCACAGCAGCUGUCACACACAAUGAAGAGUUCGAUCUAUGGCACUACAGAUUAGGACAUCCUUCAUUCAACAUUCUUAAAUCCUUAAAUAGCAAUCAGAUCUCCACAAAUAACAGCAAGCCUUGUAUGAUCUGUCCUUUAGCCAAAAUGCACAAACCCCCUUUUCCUACUAGUCAAUAUCAGUCAGCAAAAUAUUUUGAUUUAGUUCAUUGUGAUCUUUGGGGACCGUGUAAUGAAGUAGCAUAUGAUGGCUCAAAAUAUUUUUUAACAAUAGUAGAAGACUACAGUAAAUGCACUUGGAUAUGUACCUUGAAAUGCAAAUCUGAUGUUGGUGUUACUUUGCAAAGGUUCUGUAAAAUGAUUGAAAAUCAGUUUGAAGCCAAAAUCAAGACAAUUAGAAGUGACAAUGGAGGGGAAUUUAACAUGAAAGAAUUCUAUCUUGAAAAAGGAAUUGUGCAUCAAAAAUCGUGUGUUGAAACUCCACAACAAAACUCUGUAGUGGAGAGGAAGCAUCAACAUAUUCUCAAUGUGGCAAGGGCCUUAAGGUUUCAAAGUGAAAUUCCCAUGAAAUAUUGGAAUGACUAUGUACUCACUGCCGUAUACCUCAUAAACAGGACUCCCUCACCCCUCCCAAAACACAAAACACCUUUUAAAAUUCUCCUCAACAAGAAAGCAAACUAUUCCCACCUUAAAGUUGUUGGAUGCCUGGCAUUUGCCACUACCCUCACUCACAAUAGACACAAAUUUGAUCCAAAAGCCAAACAAUGUAUUUUCUUGGGGUAUCCAUUUGGAAUGAAAGGUUAUAAGCUGCUGGAUUUAGGAGCUAACAAGAUCUUUAUUUCUAGAAAUGUCACAUCCUAUGAAAACAUUUUCCCUUGCAAGGCUAUAGAUCAGUCAAAAACUAAUGCAUUACUUGAUCCAUCAAACUUGCCCUUUAUCCAAACACCAGCCAUAAACCAUUAUCAUGUGGUUGAACCUCAAGAUUUAGAACUUCUACAAUCUUACAACAAAAGCAAUGGGCCACUAAAUGAUCUACCAUCAAACAUCAUCACAUCACCAACAAAAAAUUCCAGUUUUACAAUCUUCCCAGAUAACUCAAGUUCAGAAAAUCCUUUAAACGAAUCUGAAAAUAUCACCUCACCAUCCAUAAAUACAAGUCCUCACCUACCUAGAAGAUCUACCAGAACCAGAAAAUUUCCGCCAUACUUGCAAAAUUUCGUAUGCCAGCAGGCCAGCUCAUCUAUCCUAUUCCAAGAGUUUGAAGGGCAAAAGGUUCAACCAGCUCCAGGUAAUCCUUUCCCACUUGAAGCAACUAUUUCCUAUCAUAAAUUUUCACAUGCACACAAAGCUUUCACCACAUCUAUCACUUCCCACAUAGAGCCAAACAGUUACAGUGACGCAUUAAAGUCCCCAGAAUGGUGCAAGGUAAUGCAAAAUGAGAUUGAUGCACUGGAGCAAAAUAACACAUGGAUUAUCACUGAUUUACCAGAUGGGAAAUCAGCCAUAGGUGUAAAUGGGUUUUCAAAAUCAAAUAUAAUUCAGAUGGGUCUAUUGAAAGACAUAAGGCACGACUAGUCGUCAAAGGAUACACACAACAGGAAGGACUAGACUUCCAUGAGACCUUUUCCCCAGUUGCAAAAAUGGUUACUGUCAGAACUUUACUAGCCGUGGCAGCCAUCAAAGGAUGGUCCCCAUGCCAAUUUGACGUAAAUAACGCAUUCCUACAUGGAGAUCUUAAUGAAGAGGUGUACAUGGAAUUGCCACCAGGCUAUUCGAAGGCAUCUCAGCCUAGGGUCUGCAAAUUGCGUUCUAUAUGGCCUAAAACAGGCCUCACGGCAAUGGUACUCAAAAUUGUCAACCUUCAUCAUAGGUCUUGGAUUUGUCCAGUCAAAAGCAGAUUAUAGCCUAUUCACCAAGUCUCAAGGGAACUUAUUCACUGCCAUUUUAGUAUAUGUGGAUGACAUCAUUGUGGCCAGCAAUGAUAUGCAAUCAGUCAACUCCCUGAAAUUGUUGCUGGAUGAAAACUUCAAAAUCAAAGAUCUGGGAACGUUGAAGUAUUUCCUUGGCAUUGAGAUAGCAAGAAGAAAAGAAGGAAUCAUGCUUCGUCACAGGAAGUAUGCCCUAGACAUAUUGAGAGAUUCAGGCACAAUUGGAGCCACGCCAGCAAAAAUUCCUUUGGACCAGAAUAUGAAGCUAUUCAAAAACCAAGGUGAAUUGCUCAAAAAUCCAUCCAUAAACAGAAGGCUAAUCGGAAGACUUCUCUACUUAACCGUAACCAGACCUGACAUAUCUUAUGCUGUCCAACUCUUAAGCCAAUACAUGGAUGAACCCAAAAUUCCACAUAUUAAUGCAACACACAAUGUACUUCGUUAUAUUAAGAGAAGUCCAGGUCAAGGUCUAUUCUAUCCAGCCUCAUCAAUGCUGCAACUUCAAGCAUACAUUGACUCUGAUUGGGGAUCAUGUCCUGACACAGAAGAUCCAUUACAGGCUAUUGUGUUUUCUUAGGAUCUUCCUUAAUCUCCUGGAAAUCAAAGAAACAGCAAACAGUUUCUAGAUCCUCAGCAGAGGAUGAAUAUAGGGCCAUGGCAAGCACUUGUUGUGAGCUAACAUGGUUACAAUUCUUACUCAAAGAUUUGACAGUAUGCCACCCACAAGCAGCACCUUUGUAUUGUGAUAGUAAGUCAGCAAUCCAUAAUGCUGGAAAUCCCGUUUUUCACGAAAGAACUAAACACAUAGAGCUUGAUUGUCAUUUGUACGAGACAAAGUUCAAGAAGGAAGUAUAGUGACUGAACAUGUAAAGACCAGUGCUCAAGUUGCUAAUAUUCUUACCAAGGCAUUAAGUUCACCUAGUUUUUAUUCUCAUCUGGCCAAGAUGGGAGCAGAAGAUAUCUACUCUCCAUCUUGCGGGGGGAUGUUGAAGUAUGAAGAGAAAAUGAAAUGCCACUUGGAUAAAACAGGUCAGCAACCCCACCUCAAGCCAUGUCAACGGCAAAACAUUCUAGAAGAUGAGAGACCCAGCAAGUUGCAUAAGGAAUAUACUAUGGAUACCGGUUGAAGAAGAGUGUAGAAGAAAAUUCUGUUAGGCAACAUGUAUAACAUUUAUUCUAUUUUUUUAUUCUGUUAUAUAUACUGUAAUUGCAAGCAUUUGAGAAUACAAUGAUCAUUUUCUUCUUCUCCAUUUACGUGCUGCAAU
RNAcentral lists this long non-coding RNA (8649 nucleotides) under Olea europaea subsp. europaea. The record is from RNAcentral. Lineage: Eukaryota; Viridiplantae; Streptophyta; Magnoliopsida; Lamiales; Oleaceae.